This is a long non-coding RNA of Bradysia coprophila, 351 nucleotides long. RefSeq lists it as uncharacterized. Lineage: Eukaryota; Metazoa; Arthropoda; Insecta; Diptera; Sciaridae. The record is from RefSeq and is a predicted model, not a curated record.
UGUUUCGUUGGGAUUUAAAAAUAAAAACGUUUGAGCAAUGAGAAGGAAAAUAUUUUUUUUCAUUUUAAUUGUGGCCUUACUCUUUGAGAUUUGUUGCGGUCAAAAUGCUGAUGCCAAUGGCCAGAUCAGUGCAGUUCAGAGUAAUAGUAACGGUGCAGUUAUUGACGCACCGCGACGACGUUAUCGCUGCAGAAUGGUGAGAGUACGAAGGAAGAAGAAGAAACCGUUGCCGUACGUUUCUGCUCCUACAGUUCCAAUUAUUUCUGACUCGAGAGAUGUAUCCCAAUCAACGAUCCCCUACUGAAGUGACUGGUAAACAAAUGACAAAGACAUUAUUGCAUUCAUUGGCAA